UACGAAGGGGGCUAGCGUUGUUCGGAAUUACUGGGCGUAAAGCGCACGUAGGCGGACUAUUAAGUCAGGGGUGAAAUCCCGGGGCUCAACCCCGGAACUGCCUUUGAUACUGGUAGUCUCGAGUCCGGAAGAGGUGAGUGGAAUUCCGAGUGUAGAGGUGAAAUUCGUAGAUAUUCGGAGGAACACCAGUGGCGAAGGCGGCGCACUGGUCCGGUACUGACGCUGAGGUGCGAAAGCGUGGGGAGCAAACAGG
This 253-nucleotide ribosomal RNA is filed under the name uncultured bacterium. Its description in RNAcentral is "partial 16S ribosomal RNA". It matches the Rfam family "Bacterial small subunit ribosomal RNA", at positions 524 to 776 of the family's 1533-position model. The record is from RNAcentral.